This is a long non-coding RNA of Peromyscus maniculatus bairdii (prairie deer mouse), 579 nucleotides long. RefSeq lists it as uncharacterized. Lineage: Eukaryota; Metazoa; Chordata; Mammalia; Rodentia; Cricetidae. The record is from RefSeq and is a predicted model, not a curated record.
AGGCCAUCAGGCUUAGCAGCAAGUACUAGACCUGAGUUAGGAUAAAGGACACCGUGUGAGACCUGAGAAAGGUAGUGUGGGGUUAGAGUCUGACCUGAGUGAAGCUUUCUGGCUGUGGGGGAUUAUGAGGCAGGACCUGAGUAAGACUGAAGGGUGGGGCCUGAGUGAUGCUUUAUGCCUAGAAGCUGGCCAACACUGGGACUUAGAGCUGAGGCAUGACUCUGGUCCAGCCUCUCAUGAUGGAAUUUUUCAUCGGCCUCCUUGGCCAAUCCUGAGCUCAGGUCCCCAGGUUAUUUCUUAUGGUGCACAGAAUUCACAGGCUGGAGCAAAGCUGACAUUGACAACCUUUAUGCAAAUGCACCCCCUCUUGUGUUGCUCAUCUGAUUUAUUGGUUUUCACUUAGGUGGCUCCCAGAUCCAUUCUCUACAGAAUUACCUAGAUACCACAGUGUGAUCCUCAGGUAAUCCCCAAAGCUACUAUUAGCCAACUCAAUCUCUUCACUGCUCACUUAUUAGAGAUGAUAACAAGUGGACAUUAACUGUUGGGAAUUUCAUACUCUUAUACAGCAGGUUUACUCAC